RNAcentral lists this ribosomal RNA (252 nucleotides) under uncultured bacterium. Its description in RNAcentral is "partial 16S ribosomal RNA". It matches the Rfam family "Bacterial small subunit ribosomal RNA", at positions 524 to 776 of the family's 1533-position model. The record is from RNAcentral.
UACGGAGGAUGCGAGCGUUAUCCGGAUUUAUUGGGUUUAAAGGGUGCGUAGGCGGACUGUCAAGUCAGCGGUAAAAUUGAGAGGCUCAACCUCUUCCCGCCGUUGAAACUGGUGGUCUUGAGUGGAUGAGAAGUACGCGGAAUGCGUGGUGUAGCGGUGAAAUGCAUAGAUAUCACGCAGAACUCCGAUUGCGAAGGCAGCGUACCGGCAUCCUACUGACGCUGAGGCACGAAAGCGUGGGGAUCAAACAGG